RNAcentral lists this ribosomal RNA (391 nucleotides) under uncultured bacterium. Its description in RNAcentral is "bacterial SSU rRNA". It matches the Rfam family "Bacterial small subunit ribosomal RNA", at positions 28 to 417 of the family's 1533-position model. The record is from RNAcentral.
GACGAACGCUGGCGGCGUGCUUAACACAUGCAAGUCGAGCGACUGCGAUUCUUUUCGGAGGGUGUAUGGAGCGGCGAACGGGUGAGUAACACGUGAGUAAUCUGCCUUUGGCUUGGGAAUAACUUCGGGAAAUCGGGGCUAAUGCCUGAUGUUUACUGUCUGCUGCAUGGUGGGUGGUGGAAAGAUUUUUUGGCCAGGGAUGAGCUCGCGGUCUAUCAGCUUGNGGUGGGGUAAUGGCUUACCAAGGCUUUGACGGGUAGCCGGCCUGAGAGGGUGUUCGGCCACACUGGGACUGAGACACGGCCCAGACUCCUACGGGAGGCAGCAGUGGGGAAUAUUGCGCAAUGGGCGUAAGCCUGACGCAGCGACGCCGCGUGGGGGAUGAAGGCCU